CAGGAGGGGAACUAACCCGGACGAAAGUCGGACUAAUACCGCAUAAAACAAGGGGCACCGCAUGGUGAUAAUUUGUUAAAGAAAUUCGCUGAUAGGAUGGGCAUGCGUUCCAUUAGGUAGUUGGUGAGGUAACGGCUCACCAAGCCGACGAUGGAUAGGGGAACUGAGAGGUUGGUCCCCCACACUGGUACUGAGACACGGACCAGACUCCUACGGGAGGCAGCAGUGAGGAAUAUUGGUCAAUGGGCGAGAGCCUGAACCAGCCAAGUCGCGUGAAGGAAGAAGGAUCUAUGGUUCGUAAACUUCUUUUGCAGGGGAAUAAAGUGCAGGACGUGUCCUGUUUUGUAUGUACCCUGAGAAUAAGGAUCGGCUAACUCCGUGCCAGCAGCGGC
This 392-nucleotide ribosomal RNA is filed under the name uncultured bacterium. RNAcentral describes it as "bacterial SSU rRNA". It matches the Rfam family "Bacterial small subunit ribosomal RNA", at positions 134 to 518 of the family's 1533-position model. The record is from RNAcentral.